Molecule: long non-coding RNA, 229 nt
Filed under: Hordeum vulgare
Lineage: Eukaryota; Viridiplantae; Streptophyta; Magnoliopsida; Poales; Poaceae
Description: long non-coding RNA (HVUL_LNC005069)
Source: RNAcentral
CGCGGCAGGGGAGGAGCGGCUUUCUAGACAUCAUCCGGCCGCGGCGGCCAUGGAAAGCGGGGGUCGCGGGUGGUUGGGGACGGAAAUAGAAACCGGGAGACCGGGGGAGGGGGGAAACAGUCGGCGUCCGCCUGCUGAAUUGCUUCCUUCCGGGGACGUUUCCGAGGUUGAGGCUAGCUUGAGCUGAUGAUUGUUGCUGACUGGCAGUUGCGUCGGAAUUUCUUUUUCU